This is a long non-coding RNA of Ipomoea nil (Japanese morning glory), 109 nucleotides long. RefSeq lists it as uncharacterized. NCBI's taxonomy places the organism in Eukaryota, Viridiplantae, Streptophyta, Magnoliopsida, Solanales, Convolvulaceae. The transcript is spliced from 3 exons. The record is from RefSeq and is a predicted model, not a curated record.
CCUCGAUUGUUCAGGUUCUUUCAAGGAAGGCAAAGAAUAUGUAUACAUGAAAAGGGUUUGAAGCAAUUCCUAGAGCUUUUGAAAGAACUGAAGGACGAAGGUCAUAAAU